RNAcentral lists this non-coding RNA (27 nucleotides) under Rattus norvegicus (Norway rat). The record is from RNAcentral. Lineage: Eukaryota; Metazoa; Chordata; Mammalia; Rodentia; Muridae.
UGUAAAGGGACACACAGGAGCAGCUGC